GACGAACGCUGGCGGCGUGCUUAACACAUGCAAGUCGUACGGUAAGGCCCUUUCGGGGGUACACGAGUGGCGAACGGGUGAGUAACACGUGAGUAACCUGCCCACAACUUUGGGAUAACGCUAGGAAACUGGUGCUAAUACUGGAUAUGUGCUCCUGCUGCAUGGUGGGGGUUGGAAAGCUCCGGCGGUUGUGGAUGGACUCGCGGCCUAACAGCUUGUUGGUGGGGUAGUGGCCUACCAAGGCGGCGACGGGUAGCCGGCCUGAGAGGGUGACCGGCCACAUUGGGACUGAGAUACGGCCCAGACUCCUACGGGAGGCAGCAGUGGGGAAUAUUGCACAAUGGGCGCAAGCCUGAUGCAGCAACGCCGCGUGCGGGAUGACGGCCUUCGGGUUGUAAACCGCUUUCAGCAGGGACGAAGCUUUUUGUGACGGUACCUGCAGAAGAAGCACCGGCUAACUACGUG
This 465-nucleotide ribosomal RNA is filed under the name uncultured bacterium. RNAcentral describes it as "partial 16S ribosomal RNA". It matches the Rfam family "Bacterial small subunit ribosomal RNA", at positions 28 to 507 of the family's 1533-position model. The record is from RNAcentral.